UCGCCGCCGCCCCUCCGUCUCCCUCCCGCAGACCUCGCCGCCGGCCAUGGCCCCUAUAGCCGUCGCCCCCAUCCUCUCCCCUCCCCUCAUCAGACGAGGAAGACAAGUUGGAUGGAGGGAGAUCGACCGAGACGGCCAGGCCAGGUCAGGCGGCGGCGCCCAGAUUCGCCAUGGGCGUCAGCUUCUUCCUCGACUUGGAGCUCAAUCGCCUUCUUCUCUCCCGCCAUGGAGCCCGCCUCCUCGGGUCGAGCUGCUCCCACCAUGGAAAUGGAGGGCCUUCUUCUAUCCCGCCCGCCAUGGAGCCGCCGCUUCAUGGAAGGAAGGCCUGGAGCUCGUCGAGCUUCUUCUUCAACCUGGAGCUCCAUCCCCACAGUCACCGUCCACAUUGCUGCUCCGACCUUGACGUCAUGGAAGGUCCCCUCCCAUCUCUCGCACAUCUCGUCUCUGUGUUGGGUUCCCCAAAGGGACAUCCUUUGUGGUAGCAAGUUGCAGCAGGAGAAGGAAUCACGUCCUGCAGUCUCCUAGGCUUGUUCCUGUACAGUGGCAACACAUUUUUUUUUGAACACUUUGUUUUUGUUUGCAAGAUGCAUGCUCGUAUGCCACUCUAUCGAUAAUGUCACCAAAACCCCCAUCAACAAUAAGUCUAAUCGGGAUUUGCGGGUGACUCGCAUUGUUUGGGAGAGAUCAGUAGUUAAAUGCCUAGUUUUAGAGCUCUCGGGGUAAACAGGAUGAUUCGUGUAACCCCAGAGGGUUAUGUUGACUUAUUCCUCAGGCCAACUUUAAUUCAAAGUAUUUUCAUGAGA
Long non-coding RNA from Triticum dicoccoides, 803 nucleotides. RefSeq lists it as uncharacterized. The transcript has 2 exons. The record is from RefSeq and is a predicted model, not a curated record. Lineage: Eukaryota; Viridiplantae; Streptophyta; Magnoliopsida; Poales; Poaceae.